GUCUCUUUGAAAAUAUUGUUAAGUAUAAGGAGUCAGACCUGCCCGGUGACUAAGUGUUAAACGGCCGCGGUACCCUAACCGUGCAAAGGUAGCAUAAUCAUUUGCCUUUUAAUUGGAGGCUGGUAUGAAUGGUUCGACGAGAGCCAAGCUGUCUCUUCUUUAGAUUAUUUAAAAAUUAACUUUUAGGUGAAGAGGCCUAAAUAUGUUUAAGGGACAAGAAGACCCUGUUGAGCUUUAGUGAUUUUGUGGGCGUAGGUUUAUAAAUCUUACGGUUAAAGUAUAGAUUUAGCACAUAAUUAAUCUUUAGUUGGGGCGACUGAGGAACAUAAAAAGCUUCCUUUAAAAAUUGUUUCGUAAGAAAUUAUAUAAUUAAAAUAAUAUUCUGUCAUGUUAAAGUUGAUCCAGAUUUAUUUGAUUAAAGGAAUAAGUUACCACAGGGAUAACAGCGUAAUCUUUCUGGGGAGAUCUAAUCGAAAGAAGGGUUUGCGACCUCGAUGUUGGACUAAGAUAUCCUAAAGGUGCAGAAGCUUUUGAGGGUUGGUCUGUUCGACUAUUAAAAUCUU
Molecule: ribosomal RNA, 563 nt
Filed under: Jujubinus geographicus
Lineage: Eukaryota; Metazoa; Mollusca; Gastropoda; Trochida; Trochidae
Description: partial 16S ribosomal RNA
Rfam family: Bacterial large subunit ribosomal RNA
Source: RNAcentral